RNAcentral lists this ribosomal RNA (253 nucleotides) under uncultured bacterium. RNAcentral's name for it is "partial 16S ribosomal RNA". It matches the Rfam family "Bacterial small subunit ribosomal RNA", at positions 524 to 776 of the family's 1533-position model. The record is from RNAcentral.
UACGUAGGUGGCAAGCGUUGUUCGGAAUUAUUGGGCGUAAAGGGCGCGUAGGCGGCUCGUUAAGUCGGUUGUGAAAGCCCGGGGCUCAACCCCGGAGGGUCGACCGAUACUGGCAAGCUAGAGUACAGAAGAGGUAGCUGGAAUUCCAGGUGUAGCGGUGAAAUGCGUAGAUAUCUGGAGGAACACCGGUGGCGAAGGCGGCAUCCUGGACCGGUAUUGACGCUGAGGCGCGAAAGCCAGGGGAGCAAACGGG